Molecule: transfer RNA, 65 nt
Filed under: Camelus bactrianus (Bactrian camel)
Lineage: Eukaryota; Metazoa; Chordata; Mammalia; Artiodactyla; Camelidae
Also listed under: 2 other names
Rfam family: tRNA
About the family: Transfer RNA (tRNA) molecules are approximately 80 nucleotides in length. Their secondary structure includes four short double-helical elements and three loops (D, anti-codon, and T loops).
Source: Rfam by way of RNAcentral
AGGGUAAUAGCUUAGUGGUAAAGCUUAGCAUGCACAUGUUCUGGGUUCAAUCCCCAGUACCUCCA